Molecule: ribosomal RNA, 377 nt
Filed under: uncultured bacterium
Lineage: Bacteria
Description: bacterial SSU rRNA
Rfam family: Bacterial small subunit ribosomal RNA
Source: RNAcentral
UCUUGCGCAAUGGGCGAAAGCCUGACGCAGCCAUGCCGCGUGAAUGAUGAAGGUCUUAGGAUUGUAAAAUUCUUUCACCGGGGAAGAUAAUGACGGUACCCGGAGAAGAAGCCCCGGCUAACUUCGUGCCAGCAGCCGCGGUAAUACGAAGGGGGCUAGCGUUGCUCGGAAUUACUGGGCGUAAAGGGCGCGUAGGCGGAUAGUUUAGUCAGAGGUGAAAGCCCAGGGCUCAACCUUGGAACUGCCUUUGAUACUGGCUAUCUUGAGUUCGGGAGAGGUGAGUGGAAUGCCGAGUGUAGAGGUGAAAUUCGUAGAUAUUCGGCGGAACACCAGUGGCGAAGGCGACUCACUGGCCCGAUACUGACGCUGAGCGCGAA